UUGGAGGGCAAGUCUGGUGCCAGCAGCCGCGGUAAUUCCAGCUCCAAUAGCGUAUAUUAAAGUUGUUGCAGUUAAAAAGCUCGUAGUUGAAUCUUGGGUCUGGCCGGGCGGUCCGCCUUCUGGGUGAGUACUGUUCCGAUGUCGGGCCUAUCCUUCUGGUGAAUCGGCAUGCCCUUUACUGGAUGUGUCGGGGAACCAGGACCAUUACCUUGAAAAAAUUAGAGUGUUCAAAGCAGGCGCAUGCUCGAAUACAUUAGCAUGGAAUAAUGGAAUAGGACGCGUGGUGCUAUUUUGUUGGUUUCUAGAACCGCCGUAAUGAUUAAUAGGGAUAGUUGGGGGCAUUAGUAUUCAAUUGUCAGAGGUGAAAUUCUUGGAUUUAUUGAAGACUAACUUCUGCGAAAGCAUUUGCCAAGGAUGUUUUCAUUAAUCAAGAACGAAAGUUAGGGGAUCGAAGACGAUCAGAUACCGUCGUAGUCUUAACCAUAAACUAUGCCGACUAGGAAUCGGGCGAUGUUAUUUUCACGACUCGCCCGGCGCCUUAUGGGAAACCAAAGUGUUUGGGUUC
Molecule: ribosomal RNA, 565 nt
Filed under: uncultured Glomeromycotina
Lineage: Eukaryota; Fungi; Glomeromycota
Description: SSU rRNA
Rfam family: Eukaryotic small subunit ribosomal RNA
Source: RNAcentral